CGUAAGUCAUUCAACAGUACCCGCCUCUUCCCCAAUUUUGAAAUCCCUAACACCAGUUUAUUUCAUUUCGAUUUUAUUGCAUCGCCUAGAUUCCUUUUCUUCCAAGUCGUCGCCGAGCUCUUUUGCCGUUGUCUCCUUUCCUUUCUUUUAGGUCUUCAGCGUCCAAAGGUCGGACUUGGAAUCGAAAAGCUUCAGAUGCUGUUAUUGUUCACAAAGGAAGCGGCUCUUCUUGUUGAAGGUUCGUUUUCUAAUCAUAAGAGUCUAGUGGAAGCAGUGAAAAAAGUUAUGUUGUAAUUUUCACAAUGUCUCGGGUUCAUUUCUGGAGCCACAACAUUUUGUUGCUGCUGAAGCUUGUGGAGGCGAUCAAAGAAGCUGGAAAUGUGUUUAAGGAUUGAUGCUUUUAUGAGAAGUGACUAGAAUCAUUGUGCUCGUAAACUUCUUUCCGUGUAUUUAGAAGCUUUUGUCUCUUCCUAAAUUUCCUAUACAUGUGAUCGGCUGCAUUGGUGGUUGUGAUGAAACACUUAGCUAGUUAAUAGAAAUCUAUGGACUGGUUCCCGCAUUCCAGGGCUAAAAAUAACAAUGCUGAAAUAGAUACUGAUGGUGAUGAUCAAAUUUAUGAACCCGCAACAAAGUCCCUUUUGCCUAAUGAUGCAUGAGCAACUUGGCUUCUUGUUCCAAUUUCAAUUCUGAACCAGCUUCAAGAUUGGCAAGUGAAACACUUGCAUGGCAGAGGUUGCAUGGAGCUUCAUUGUAGAGAGUUGGGGUGCUUUGCUUUUCCAAGAAAGAAAGCUAUUCAAAUGUGAGUAUCUAUUUGAAGUAAUGUUUUAUUUGAGAAUAAGCCAAGAUGAUUCCAGUAGUACAGACGUGGAUUCAAAUCCUUGCAUGAAUUUAUACUCCAUCAUUGUUUGAUAUUCGAAUAUUAUGUAACAAAGAGCAAUAAAUUGAUCAUUAACGUUAUUAGAAAUAAUAAA
Pistacia vera is the source of this 971-nucleotide long non-coding RNA. RefSeq lists it as uncharacterized. NCBI's taxonomy places the organism in Eukaryota, Viridiplantae, Streptophyta, Magnoliopsida, Sapindales, Anacardiaceae. The record is from RefSeq and is a predicted model, not a curated record. The transcript is spliced from 5 exons.